RNAcentral lists this ribosomal RNA (517 nucleotides) under uncultured bacterium. RNAcentral describes it as "bacterial SSU rRNA". It matches the Rfam family "Bacterial small subunit ribosomal RNA", at positions 8 to 518 of the family's 1533-position model. The record is from RNAcentral.
AGAGUUUGAUUAUGGCUCAGGAUGAACGCUAGCGACAGGCUAACACAUGCAAGUCGAGGGCAGCACGGAGUAGCAAUACAACUGGUGGCGACCGGCGCACGGGUGAGUAACGCGUAUGCAACCUACCUAUCAGAGGGGAAUAACCCGGCGAAAGUCGGACUAAUACCGCAUAAAACAGGGGCACCGCAUGGUGAUAUUUGUUAAAGAGAUUCGCUGAUAGAUGGGCAUGCGUUCCAUUAGGUAGUUGGUGAGGUAACGGCUCACCAAGCCGACGAUGGAUAGGGGAACUGAGAGGUUGGUCCCCCACACUGGUACUGAGACACGGACCAGACUCCUACGGGAGGCAGCAGUGAGGAAUAUUGGUCAAUGGGCGGGAGCCUGAACCAGCCAAGUCCGUGUGAAGGAAGAAGGAUCUAUGGUUCGUAAACUUCUUUUGCAGGGGAAUAAAGUGCAGGACGUGUCCUGUUUUGUAUGUACCCUGAGAAUAAGGAUCGGCUAACUCCGUGCCAGCCGCCGC